CAAGCGGUGGAGCAUAGUGGUUUAAUUCGAUGAUACGCGAGGAACCUUACCUGGGCUCGAACGUAAGAUGACUGUAGGUGAAAGCUUACAUCUCUUCGGAGCAUUUUACGAGGUGCUGCAUGGUUGUCGUCAGCUCGUGCCGUGAGGUGUCGGGUUAAGUCCCAUAACGAGCGCAACCCCUACCUUUAGUUGCCAUCAGGUAAUGCUGGGGACUCUAAAGGAACUGCCUACGCAAGUAGUGAGGAAGGCGGGGAUGACGUCAAAUCAGCACGGCCCUUACGUCCAGGGCUACACACGUGCUACAAUGGCCGAUACAGAGGGCAGCUACCUGGUGACAGGAUGCAAAUCUCCAAAGUCGGUCUCAGUUCGGAUCGGAGUCUGCAACCCGACUCCGUGAAGUUGGAUUCGCUAGUAAUCGCGCAUCAGCCAUGGCGCGGUGAAUACGUUCCCGGGCCUU
Molecule: ribosomal RNA, 457 nt
Filed under: uncultured Sphingobacteriales bacterium
Lineage: Bacteria; Pseudomonadati; Bacteroidota; Sphingobacteriia; Sphingobacteriales
Description: bacterial SSU rRNA
Rfam family: Bacterial small subunit ribosomal RNA
Source: RNAcentral